UGCAUCGGCCGGGAAUCGAACCCGGGCCUCCCGCGUGGCAGGCGAGCAUUUUACCACUGAACCACCGAUGC
Molecule: transfer RNA, 71 nt
Filed under: Cordylochernes scorpioides
Lineage: Eukaryota; Metazoa; Arthropoda; Arachnida; Pseudoscorpiones; Chernetidae
Description: tRNA-Gly
Source: RNAcentral